GGGGCUUUGGAAGAGAGGUAUUUAGAAGGCAGAUAGUAUAGCAGAUUAUUAUACUCUAAGUAUAUAAACAGCAAAAAACUCCUUGUGGGGAAGAAUUUGAUGGAAGGAAAGGAGAGAGAGACAGCCUGCAUAAUGGCACCGGACCUUGCCUGCAGUUGAGUGUGAGACUCCAGCUUCAAAACUCCAUUUUUCCAAGAAGACUCACGGUCUCCAGAGGAGAAGCUUGCUGCCUCAGGCCUCAGCAUCCCUGUUCAUAUUGUGCCAAGUCGGCUGGAGGAAGAUUGGCGGCUACACCUCUUGGGCUUUCCCAUAACAAGAUGUUCAUCUCUUGAGGCUAUGCUGGACUUUGGAAGGCUGAGGACACCACUUGCAGACCCAGGCACAAGGGGAGAGGAGCAGGAUUGGGGGAUAUGGAGAGUUCAGGGCUGCCCAUGGUGGAUUUUAAGCACCUCCAAGGAAACACAUUCCUCCUGAGGC
Molecule: long non-coding RNA, 477 nt
Organism: Suricata suricatta (meerkat)
Lineage: Eukaryota; Metazoa; Chordata; Mammalia; Carnivora; Herpestidae
Exons: 4
Source: RefSeq, a predicted model, not a curated record